AUGAAGCUCCAAUGGCGAACAAAAAAAUGCUUUGAGGCACUUGACAAGAGCCUAAGAGAUGUGCUCAGGUUCACCAAUGAGAAUAGUUGCAACAAGCCCUUUGGCGGCAUGACAGUUGUUCUAGGAGGGGACUUUCGACAAAUCCUCCCUGUUGUGCCAAGGGGAAGAAGGGAGCACACUAUAAGUGCAUCAAUCAAAUGCUCAUACCUCUGGCAACAUUUCAAGGUAUUCAACCUUACCAAAAAUAUGCGUCUCAAUUCUCUGUCCAAUGAUCAAGCAGAGCAGCAGAAGACUGCGGAAUUUGCGGAAUGGAUACUACAGAUCGGUAAUGGAGACACAUGUUUAUUAGAUGAAAAGGAGUAUGUAAGUAUCCCCAGUGAUCUGCUGCUAGAAAAAGGAGAUAAUCCGAAAACAAAAAUCAUCCAAAGUACCUAUCCUGACCUCCAGGACAAUAUCUGCACACAGAAGUUCCUGGAAGAAAGGGCGAUAUUGUGUCCUUUGAACGAGAGCGUUAAUGAGAUCAAUGAGCAUAUUAUGGGUCAAAUCCAAGGCGACAGGAUGACAUACCUGAGCUGUGACAGGAUGAGCAGAUCAAUGUCUUACAGCCAUGAAAUGGAAUUGUUGUAUACUACAGAGUUUCUAAACAAGUUAAAGCACCCAGGAUGUCCAGAUCACCUACUUGAGCUCAAAGUCGGUCUGCCAGUGAUGCUUCUUCGCAACAUCAAUCAAAGUGCAGGGCUAUGCAACGGUACAAGAAUGACAAUCACAAAACUUGGAAAAAGAGUCGUCGAAGCACAGAUCAUAACUGGAGCACACGUCGGUACUAAGGUAUGCAUCCCUCGGAUCAUCACACUGACAUUCAAGCCUAAAUGGCCAUUCGUACUAGAAAGAAAGCAAUAUCCUCUAUCCGUGUGCUUCGCAAUGACAAUCAACAAGAGCCAGGGGCAAUCUUUGAACAAGGUCGGCAUCUACUUGCCCAGGCAAGUUUUCACUCAUGGGCAACUCUAUGUGUUGGUCUCCAGAGUAACAAACAGGAAUGGCCUGAAGAUCCUGAUCGCCGACGACGACGAAGAACACGCAAGCAAAGGGAUGGCGAAGAACAUAGUGUACAAGGAGAUCUUCUGA
RNAcentral lists this ribosomal RNA (1125 nucleotides) under Triticum aestivum (bread wheat). RNAcentral describes it as "partial small subunit ribosomal RNA". Lineage: Eukaryota; Viridiplantae; Streptophyta; Magnoliopsida; Poales; Poaceae. The record is from RNAcentral.